Molecule: long non-coding RNA, 210 nt
Filed under: Homo sapiens (human)
Lineage: Eukaryota; Metazoa; Chordata; Mammalia; Primates; Hominidae
Description: non-protein coding lnc-SH3PXD2B-2:1
Source: RNAcentral
GUCACGAUGGGGACUGACUCCAGCAAGAAAGGGCUGACUGAUGCAGAUCCUGCUCUGCAGACCCAGAAUUGGAGGUGUGGAGGCCUCGAGCUGGAGGAAUUGGAGGUGUGGAGGCCUCGAGCUGGAGGAAUUGGAGGUGUGGAGGCCUCGAGCUGGAGGAAUUGGAGGUGCGGAGGCCUCGAGCUGGAAGCAGCAGGAGCAAAGGCAUGA